CUACGGGACGCAGCAGUGGGGAAUAUUGGACAAUGGGGGAAACCCUGAUCCAGCAAUGCCGCGUGUGUGAAGAAGGCCUGCGGGUUGUAAAGCACUUUCGGUUGGGAGGACUGCUUCUAGCACUAAUAUUGUUGGAAGUUGACGUUACCUUCAGAAGAAGCACCGGCUAGCUCCGUGCCAGCAGUCGCGGUAAUACGGAGGGUGCAAGCGUUAAUCGGAAUUACUGGGCGUAAAGCGCGCGUAGGCGGCUAGAUCAGUCGGGUGUGAAAGCCCCGGGCUUAACCUGGGAACUGCAUCCGAUACUGUCUAGCUUGAGUACAGGAGAGGAGGGUGGAAUUCCACAUGUAGCGGUGAAAUGCGUAGAUAUGUGGAGGAACACCAAUGGCGAAGGCAGCUCUCUGGCCUGAUACUGACGCUGAGGUGCGAAAGCGUGGGGAGCAAACAGGAUUAGAUACCCCCGUAGUC
This 465-nucleotide ribosomal RNA is filed under the name uncultured bacterium. RNAcentral's name for it is "partial 16S ribosomal RNA". It matches the Rfam family "Bacterial small subunit ribosomal RNA", at positions 339 to 795 of the family's 1533-position model. The record is from RNAcentral.